GCCGGGGAGAUAGCGGUGCCCUGUACCCGCAAUCCGCUACAGCGGGGGUGAUGUCCUGCCUCGGGCGAGUUGCUGCAGAGCUGCCCCUGAUAAGUGGCGUUGAAGUCUGGGUCUUGCGCAACAGGAAUCUGUGAACCGUGUCAGGGCAGGAAUGCAGCAGCACUAAGCAGAACCUCCUGUGUGACGCGAGGCAGCCUGGGCCGAGUUAACUGUCAGGGUAACGUCUG
RNAcentral lists this signal recognition particle RNA (227 nucleotides) under uncultured Clostridium sp. Its description in RNAcentral is "Bacterial large signal recognition particle RNA". It matches the Rfam family "Bacterial large signal recognition particle RNA", at positions 9 to 230 of the family's 256-position model. From Rfam's summary of the family: The signal recognition particle (SRP) is a universally conserved ribonucleoprotein involved in the co-translational targeting of proteins to membranes. Archaeal SRP consists of a 7S RNA and homologues of the eukaryotic SRP19 and SRP54 proteins. Lineage: Bacteria; Bacillati; Bacillota; Clostridia; Eubacteriales; Clostridiaceae. The record is from RNAcentral.